This 339-nucleotide ribosomal RNA is filed under the name uncultured Pseudomonadota bacterium. RNAcentral describes it as "bacterial SSU rRNA". It matches the Rfam family "Bacterial small subunit ribosomal RNA", at positions 29 to 351 of the family's 1533-position model. The record is from RNAcentral. Lineage: Bacteria; Pseudomonadati; Pseudomonadota.
AACAAACGCUGGCGGCGUGCCUAACACAUGCAAGUCGUACGAGAAAGUCCGCUUCGGUGGAUAAGUAAAGUGGCGCACGGGUGAGUAACGCGUGGAUAAUCUACCCUUAAGUUUGGAAUAACUCAUCGAAAGGUGGGCUAAUACCGAAUGAUACUGCACAACUACUGUUGUACAGUCAAAGAAGGCCUCUGUUUACAAGCUUUCGCUGAAGGAUGAGUCCGCGUACCAUUAGCUAGUUGGUAGGGUAAUAGCCUACCAAGGCGACGAUGGUUAGCUGGUCUGAGAGGAUGAUCAGCCACACUGGAACUGAGACACGGUCCAGACUCCUACGGGAGGCAG